UGGGGAAUAUUGGACAAUGGGCGCAAGCCUGAUCCAGCCAUGCCGCGUGAGUGAUGACGGCCUUAGGGUUGUAAAGCUCUUUCGACGGGGACGAUAAUGACGGUACCCGUAGAAGAAGCCCCGGCUAACUUCGUGCCAGCAGCCGCGGUAAUACGAAGGGGGCUAGCGUUGUUCGGAAUCACUGGGCGUAAAGCGCACGUAGGCGGAUUGUUAAGUCGGGGGUGAAAUCCUGAGGCUCAACCUCAGAACUGCCUCCGAUACUGGCAAUCUCGAGUUCGGAAGAGGUUGGUGGAACAGCUAGUGUAGAGGUGAAAUUCGUAGAUAUUAGCUAGAACACCAGUGGCGAAGGCGGCCAACUGGUCCGACACUGACGCUGAGGUGCGAAAGCGUGGGGAGCAAAC
This 401-nucleotide ribosomal RNA is filed under the name uncultured bacterium. RNAcentral's name for it is "bacterial SSU rRNA". It matches the Rfam family "Bacterial small subunit ribosomal RNA", at positions 355 to 773 of the family's 1533-position model. The record is from RNAcentral.